CUACGUGCCAGCAGCCGCGGUAAUACGGAAGGUCCAGGCGUUAUCCGGAUUUAUUGGGUUUAAAGGGAGCGUAGGCCGCGGAUUAAGCGUGUUGUGAAAUGUAGACGCUCAACGUCUGAAUUGCAGCGCGAACUGGUUCACUUGAGUAUGCACAACGUAGGCGGAAUUCGUCGUGUAGCGGUGAAAUGCUUAGAUAUGACGAAGAACUCCGAUUGCGAAGGCAGCUUACGGGAGCACAACUGACGCUGAAGCUCGAAGGUGCGGGUAUCAAACAGGAUUAGAUACCCUGGUAGUCCGCACAGUAAACGAUGGAUGCCCGUUGUUAGUUCACUUAAGAAUUAGCGACCAAGCGAAAGCAUUAAGCAUCCCACCUGGGGAGUACGCCGGCAACGGUGAAACUCAAAGGAAUUGACGGGGGCCCGCACAAGCGGAGGAACAUGUGGUUUAAUUCGAUGAUACGCGAGGAACCUUACCCGGGCUUGAA
This 484-nucleotide ribosomal RNA is filed under the name uncultured bacterium. Its description in RNAcentral is "bacterial SSU rRNA". It matches the Rfam family "Bacterial small subunit ribosomal RNA", at positions 501 to 985 of the family's 1533-position model. The record is from RNAcentral.